GAGGAAAGUCCGGGCAGUACAGAGCAACCCACCGGUGAACAGCCGGCCACCAAUUGGUGAGAGAAAGUGCCACAGAAAAUAACUGUCUUGCCUAAGGCGAGAUGAGGGUGAAAAUGUGAGGUAAGAGCUCACGGUUGUUAUCGGUAACGGUAGCAACGGGUAAACCUUGGGUGCUGCAAUGCCACAUAUAGAGCCGUUUUGAGAGCUGCUCGUUCAAGGCUCAGGGUAGGCAGCAACAGGUAAACAGUAAUGUUUAUCGCAGAUAAAUGAUAGUGUAGAAACAGAACCCGGCUUA
RNAcentral lists this RNase P RNA (295 nucleotides) under unidentified eubacterium clone ESH167E. RNAcentral's name for it is "partial ribonuclease P RNA". It matches the Rfam family "Bacterial RNase P class A", at positions 43 to 351 of the family's 367-position model. Rfam says of the family: Ribonuclease P (RNase P) is a ubiquitous endoribonuclease, found in archaea, bacteria and eukarya as well as chloroplasts and mitochondria. Its best characterised activity is the generation of mature 5'-ends of tRNAs by cleaving the 5'-leader elements of precursor-tRNAs. Cellular RNase Ps are ribonucleoproteins. The record is from RNAcentral. Lineage: Bacteria; Pseudomonadati; Bacteroidota.